GUUGCGCGCUACGGACUGGCGAACCCGCGAGAGUAUUCUAGGCCGCUUGUGUGAUCAAACAGAUCCAUUCCGUUCUUGGGGAACAUCAUCGAGAUUAGACGUGGGCUCUCAACUUUAUUCCAGUGGCGGACGGGGGUCCUUUGCAUCUGUAUUGAGGUGCCGAUAGCCGCAUUCACGCCCUUUACAGGGACGGCGGAGAGCGUGGCUCUAAUCCAGCUCGUCUUUUCUGCUGACGUCUACAGUCUUGCGAGCAGCUGCGGACCCCGAG
Molecule: long non-coding RNA, 268 nt
Filed under: Sinocyclocheilus anshuiensis
Lineage: Eukaryota; Metazoa; Chordata; Actinopteri; Cypriniformes; Cyprinidae
Description: lncRNA (ENSSANG00000047433.1)
Source: RNAcentral